Molecule: long non-coding RNA, 998 nt
Organism: Pseudophryne corroboree (corroboree frog)
Lineage: Eukaryota; Metazoa; Chordata; Amphibia; Anura; Myobatrachidae
Exons: 3
Source: RefSeq, a predicted model, not a curated record
CCCGAACUGGGCCCAAUGUCUAGAACUCGCCUUAUCUCUCUCUCAGAGCCUUUACCCAGCUUUUACAGCAAACUGAAAAGGUUCAGACAAAACAAAAAGCAUUUUUCCUAGAAGUUAACAUUUUCUAAAACAUGUAAGACAAGAACCUGGGACAAAUAUACCUGCCCUCAAACACUAUCCCAGUGUUCUUGUCACAAUAUAUAUAUAUAUAUAUAUAUAUUCAGUCUGUUUAACAGCUGCUGAACUAUUAAUAACUAAACACUUGGACUGCUGGACUUUUUUUGGAUUGAAGAUGUUCUCAGUGUAUACAGGCAGUACUAAGGAGUGCCCAUUUUCAGGUGCAUUUGCCAAGAAACUCACUGAUGCCUCUACGAGUAAUAAUCCCAAGGGUUUGACAUUGAGGAGAAUGUAGACUUAUUGCAGGCCAAGUGACUGAACCUGCUAGAUGGAAAGGAACUCUGUUUACUGUACACAGCAUGUGGCCGCGUAUGCCUAAAUGUUAGAAAUGUCUCCAGAAGAGCAACUGGCCAGGCAACUCUCCUUCCUAAUUCCAUAAAACUGCCCAGUAUAUGGACAAGUCACAGGUCUUAGUCUUUAAACAGAAUGAAGCAAGUUAUUAAAUGACCCUGCUGGUCUGGCAGAGAGACCCUGGGCUAUGAGAACAAAAGUUUAAACCUGGGUCGCAAUCAAUUACUUUUGCUUUUAAAAGAGUAUAAAUCCACAAGGGUGGGGGUCAAGGAUCAGGAGUGGAUAGAUAAAUAUAUCUGUUUAGCUGAAUCUAGUGUGCACUCUUUGGGGGCAACCAUGCCUUCAGGGUGCCCCAUACCUAUUAUUUCUUUGAGGUCCCCACAAUUGAAACUCCUAAGGUCUUUUUUUGUAAAUCAGGAUUUUUCUGCUUUUUCCCCCUGAAACUAAUGCCAUAAUAAUCUGUGUAUCAGUACUUUGUAUAUUUUAACUAUAAGCUUUGGAAUUUUUGUUUUUGUUUAUUAAAUACACCU